Molecule: ribosomal RNA, 284 nt
Filed under: Symphytognathidae sp. SYMP-002-MAD
Lineage: Eukaryota; Metazoa; Arthropoda; Arachnida; Araneae; Symphytognathidae
Description: partial 18S ribosomal RNA
Rfam family: Eukaryotic small subunit ribosomal RNA
Source: RNAcentral
UUAAAGGUAUUGACGGAAGGGCACACCAGGAAUGGAUUUUGCGGCUUAAUUUGACUCAACGCGCGAAAGCUCACCCGAACCGGACACAGGAAGGAUUGACAGAUUAAGAGCUCUUUCUUGAUUCUGUGGGUGGUGGUGCAUGGCCGCUCUUAGUUAGUGGAGUGAUUUGUCUGGUUGAUUCCGGUAACUAACGAGGUUCCAACCUACUAAAUAGAUGUCCCGGUCCUCCCAGCCGGACAGUUCCUUCUUAGAGGGACAGGCAGCAUAGAGUUGCACGAAGCGGA